CUCCGAGCCGCAUUGCCUGUCGGGCCCCGUGUCCGUGGUGUGCGGCCGAUAGGGUGUGUCUGGAAACGGGCACGCCUCCCUUGUUUGGCAAGGAG
This 95-nucleotide non-coding RNA is filed under the name Aminomonas paucivorans. Its description in RNAcentral is "MoCo sequence". It matches the Rfam family "Molybdenum/Tungsten riboswitch aptamer (Moco RNA motif)", at positions 13 to 119 of the family's 135-position model. RNAcentral also lists the same sequence under 1 other name. The record is from RNAcentral. Lineage: Bacteria; Thermotogati; Synergistota; Synergistia; Synergistales; Synergistaceae.